AUUGAACGCUGGCGGCAUGCCUUACACAUGCAAGUCGAACGGCAGCACGGGAGCUUGCUCCUGGUGGCGAGUGGCGAACGGGUGAGUAAUACAUCGGAACGUACCCUGAAGUGGGGGAUAACGUAGCGAAAGUUACGCUAAUACCGCAUAUUCUGUGAGCAGGAAAGAGGGGGAUCGCAAGACCUCUUGCUUUAGGAGCGGCCGGUGUCGGAUUAGCUAGUUGGUGAGGUAAAGGCUCACCAAGGCGACGAUCCGUAGCGGGUCUGAGAGGAUGAUCCGCCACACUGGGACUGAGACACGGCCCAGACUCCUACGGGAGGCAGCAGUGGGGAAUUUUGGGACAAUGGGGGGCAACCCUGAUCCAGCCAUGCCGCGUGAGUGAAGAAGGCCUCGGGUUGGUUAAA
This 404-nucleotide ribosomal RNA is filed under the name uncultured bacterium. RNAcentral describes it as "bacterial SSU rRNA". It matches the Rfam family "Bacterial small subunit ribosomal RNA", at positions 30 to 430 of the family's 1533-position model. The record is from RNAcentral.